RNAcentral lists this long non-coding RNA (222 nucleotides) under Ananas comosus (pineapple). RNAcentral describes it as "long non-coding RNA (ACOM_LNC012818)". The record is from RNAcentral. Lineage: Eukaryota; Viridiplantae; Streptophyta; Magnoliopsida; Poales; Bromeliaceae.
AAUAUACCAAAUUUAUCUGCACUAUGGAUCAUUUUGAGCCAACUAUUCAUUCUUUUAAAUUAUAAUUUUACUGCCUAAUCUUUCAAUUUAUUUUAUUUGAGUUGGUCAAUAACAAUUUGACUUUAAAAAUCUAAACUAAUUAUUUACUUUAAUAAAUAUAUAACUAGUCAAAGUGCUCCAACUCACUCUCAAAUCAACAAAAUUAAAAUAAUAAUUCAAAAU